AAUGUCGUAACAAGGUUUCCGUAGGUGAACCUGCGGAAGGAUCAUUAUUGAAUUCCAAAUCUGGGUGAGAUUGCUGCUGGCCUCUCGGGCCAUGUGCACAUCUCAUUCAUUUACCUCUCACCCUCUGUGCACUUUUCCACAGGACAGCUGGUGGUUGUUAGGGCUUCAUUGUCUAUGGGCCUACAGGUUUGCUUUGUGUGCUUUGAUAAACUCAUAAUCAAGUUCAGAAUGUCUUUGUGUAUCCACACAUUUGAAAUUACAA
This 262-nucleotide unclassified non-coding RNA is filed under the name plant metagenome. RNAcentral describes it as "partial contains small subunit ribosomal RNA and internal transcribed spacer 1". The stretch from base 1 to 47 matches the Rfam family "Eukaryotic small subunit ribosomal RNA", at positions 1785 to 1831 of the family's 1831-position model. The record is from RNAcentral.